GAUAAAUUUGAGCGGCCAUUUUGAAGUGUCAUGAGAGGAUUUCCUCGAUCUUUUGGAAUGGAGAUUCGAUAGAUGAAGAUAAAUACUUGCACUCCACUGGCUACUUUACUUACGAGAGAAGCCCAGACGGUUACUGAUACUGUUCAAGGUUAGAUACAGUGAAGUAGAAAAUGAGAUGGUAACGAAUGACGUCAUUGAAUCAACAGCUCUCGUCCUUAAAUGGUCAUCCUUUUAGGAUCACUGCCUCGUAAGCGAUGCCCAAGCUCGUCUCAUUGUAGUACAAGUUUCUAAAUUUUCAAACUAGUGAACUGCAUCCAAGCUUGGGUUUAGAGACAAAGGGAUGAAGUGCAUGGUAUCUCAGUAUUGGGACAACGACAGACAUGGGCUGGAGAUUCUGUCAGUGUUAAGUUCUUGCCAUCAGACAUUUGCCCUAGCGAUUUGCCAGCGUUUUUUGGUACUUCACUCCCUCAGAAGCUUUAACAGAAUUAAAAGAAACAAUUACAACAGGAAAUGUUUUUCUUUUAAGCAGUACAAGAGAAGGCUUUACUGUGAUCUCACUCGCAAAUUCAGCUGGAAUUCAGCUGUGUACAUUCUAUCGCAGCUUGUCAUCCUACUACGUUUGUUUGCUUUGAUUCUGGUACGUGUUGUCAACGAAAUACUUGCAUCUGGUGGCAUCCAAACAGCUUUUGUUUUGACCAAGGUCCGCCAUCAGAAGAUUCGCCUUCAUAUGUAUUCAAGAGAAAUCUCAAUGAAAGUUUUUCGGUAUACAUAAAUAGUUGCUGAAUGCUUUGGACGGACCUCUGUCGUUUGAUCUAAAUCUUUGGCUUUUAUCUAAAACAAAAUCUGCGUCAAAAUUUGCGGUGGACUUUGAAACAUCGGAUUUAAAUGAGGGAAGAAGCACAUCAAAAGGAAGCAACUUCUAAUUUAAACAGGACAAAAUGGUGAAUAAUGGAAAUUGAUAGGGAUUAAAAACGACAUAGUUUGAUGAAUUUGCUCUUAUUAGUUAACAUGCGCAAAAAAGACUGUCUUUUAGGAAUUGCUCUUUUAACCCUUUACUUCCUAGAUCUGAUUUUUAAAUUCUCCCCACAAGCUGCGACACAUUUUUUUUCUAAUUAAGCGCGAGAAUUUGGUGCUUGAUCAAGACAGGAGAGAUCAAGAUAACAAAUUCUACCUGAUAAGUUUGAGUACUCUCAUUGCCUGUUUGCUGGGUAAUAUGUGGAUAUCACAAAGAUAAAUUACAUGUUCUUACUUCAUGGAGUUGAAGGGUUAAAAUGUUUAUGUGUGGGAGUAGAAAGGGUGUCAUAACAGCUGACGUUCACCCGAAGGUGUUCGACUUGUCAUUUACUCAGUUGAUGCCGGUCCAGGUUUACUAUCAAUGUCAUUGUUUCUUUUCCUUUCUACCUGUCACUGCCCCAAAUCGCAAUAAGUUUUUUAGAAUCUCCGAGAGAAUAGUUUACAUUAGUAAGUGGAAAAUAUUCCUGUGCCUCUUACGAAGCCACCGUCAGCAGAAACAAAAAAUAGUUCUAACACUUUGAAUUACGACGAACUCAUUCUAUCUAUAGAUGGCUUGUAGUAGCUGUUGAACACACAUCAGCAUAUUACACACAUAUGUGAUGAAUCUAGGCUCAUUUGG
Molecule: long non-coding RNA, 1633 nt
Organism: Pocillopora verrucosa
Lineage: Eukaryota; Metazoa; Cnidaria; Anthozoa; Scleractinia; Pocilloporidae
Source: RefSeq, a predicted model, not a curated record